Molecule: ribosomal RNA, 440 nt
Filed under: uncultured bacterium
Lineage: Bacteria
Description: partial 16S ribosomal RNA
Rfam family: Bacterial small subunit ribosomal RNA
Source: RNAcentral
CCUACGGGUGGCAGCAGUGGGGAAUAUUGCACAAUGGGGGAAACCCUGAUGCAGCGACGCCGCGUGAGUGAAGACGUAAUUCGUUAUGUAAAGCUCUAUCAGUAGGGAAGAAAAUGACGGUACCUGAGUAAGAAGCCCCGGCUAACUACGUGCCAGCAGCCGCGGUAAUACGUAGGGGGCAAGCGUUAUCCGGAUUUACUGGGUGUAAAGGGAGCGUAGACGGCAGGGCAAGUCUGGAGUGAAAGGCGGGGGCUCAACCCCCGCACUGCACUGGAAACUGGACGGCUGGAGUGCAGGAGAGGUAAGUGGAAUUCCUAGUGUAGCGGUGAAAUGCGUAGAUAUUAGGAGGAACACCGGUGGCGAAGGCAGCUUGCUGGACUGUAACUGACGUUGAGGCUCGAAAGCGUGGGGAGCGAACAGGAUUAGAUACCCUUGUAGUC